CUACGGGUUGCAGCAGUGGGGAAUAUUGGACAAUGGGGGAAACCCUGAUCCAGCAAUGCCGCGUGUGUGAAGAAGGCCUGCGGGUUGUAAAGCACUUUCGGUUGGGAGGACUGCUUCUAGCACUAAUAUUGUUGGAAGUUGACGUUACCUUCAGAAGAAGCACCGGCUAACUCCGUGCCAGCAGCCGCGGUAAUACGGAGGGCGCAAGCGUUAAUCGGAAUUACUGGGCGUAAAGCGCGCGUAGGCGGCUAGAUAAGUCGGGUGUGAAAGCCCCGGGCUUAACCUGGGAACUGCAUCCGAUACUGUCUAGCUUGAGUACAGGAGAGGAGAGUGGAAUUCCACAUGUAGCGGUGAAAUGCGUAGAUAUGUGGAGGAACACCAAUGGCGAAGGCAGCUCUCUGGCCUGAUACUGACGCUGAGGUGCGAAAGCGUGGGGAGCAAACAGGAUUAGAUACCCGCGUAGUC
RNAcentral lists this ribosomal RNA (465 nucleotides) under uncultured bacterium. Its description in RNAcentral is "partial 16S ribosomal RNA". It matches the Rfam family "Bacterial small subunit ribosomal RNA", at positions 339 to 795 of the family's 1533-position model. The record is from RNAcentral.